Molecule: ribosomal RNA, 253 nt
Filed under: uncultured bacterium
Lineage: Bacteria
Description: partial 16S ribosomal RNA
Rfam family: Bacterial small subunit ribosomal RNA
Source: RNAcentral
UACGUAGGUGACCAGCGUUGUCCGGAUUUACUGGGCGUAAAGAGCGCGCAGGCGGUCGUUCAAGUCGAGUGUGAAAGCCCCCGGCUCAACUGGGGAGGGUCACUCGAUACUGAUCGACUUGAAGGCAGGAGAGGGAAGCGGAAUUCCCGGUGUAGUGGUGAAAUGCGUAGAUAUCGGGAGGAACACCGGUGGCGAAGGCGGCCUUCUGGACGGAUACUGACGCUGAGACGCGAAAGCGUGGGGAGCAAACAGG